UUUGUGAUCCCAUAUGAGAUUUUCUAGGUAACGGUACUGAUAUACCUUUCCAUUUCCUUCUCUAGUUCAUUUUACAGAUAAAGAAACAGAAGCAAACAGGGUUAAGUGAUUCGCCCAAGAUGACAUAACUACUAAGUAUCUAAGGCUGGAUUUGAACUCAGAAAGUUGAGUCUUCCAGACUCCAGGCUUGGUGCUCUAUUCAUUGAGUCACCUGGUUGCUUUGUUGUGAGAUGGUGAUCUGUCUUUUCCUGCCUCUUCCCAGACUUCUGCAACAGGGCAGAAAAAGGAUGAGGAUGCUCAGAGGGAUCCUUUCCUUUGGAGCCCUGCUCUUAUUCUCCUCUGCUUAUGAUCUGAUCUUGGUAAUGAGACUUUGUCAGAGAAAUUUGCUGCAAAGAUUUCCCUUCCACAGGUAACUAUUUCCCUUCUAGUCUUAGCUGUAUUGGUUUUGCUUG
RNAcentral lists this long non-coding RNA (452 nucleotides) under Monodelphis domestica (gray short-tailed opossum). RNAcentral describes it as "lncRNA (ENSMODG00000044590.1)". The record is from RNAcentral. Lineage: Eukaryota; Metazoa; Chordata; Mammalia; Didelphimorphia; Didelphidae.